AGGCUUUGAUCCUGGCUCAGGAUGAACGCUAGCGGCAGGCUUAAUACAUGCAAGUCGAACGGUAACAGGUCCAGCAAUGGAUGCUGACGAGUGGCGCACGGGUGCGUAACACGUAUGCAACCUACCCACCACCGGGGGAUAACCCUGAGAAAUUAGGGCUAAUACCCCAUGGUAUCAACGAGCGGCAUCGUUUGUUGAUUAAAGAUUAAUCGGUGAUGGAUGGGCAUGCGCCCCAUUAGCUAGUUGGUGAGGUAACGGCUCACCAAGGCCACGAUGGGUAGGGGACCUGAGAGGGUUAUCCCCCACACUGGUACUGAGACACGGACCAGACUCCUACGGGAGGCAGCAGUAAGGAAUAUUGGGCAAUGGUCGAGAGACUGACCCAGCCAUGCCGCGUGCAGGAAGACGGCCCUACGGGUUGUAAACUGCUUUUGCACGGGAAUAAUCGCCCUGACGUGUCGGGGUUUGCAGGUACCGUUGCGAAUAAGCAUCGGCUA
This 497-nucleotide ribosomal RNA is filed under the name uncultured Bacteroidota bacterium. RNAcentral's name for it is "bacterial SSU rRNA". It matches the Rfam family "Bacterial small subunit ribosomal RNA", at positions 8 to 499 of the family's 1533-position model. The record is from RNAcentral. Lineage: Bacteria; Pseudomonadati; Bacteroidota.